RNAcentral lists this ribosomal RNA (468 nucleotides) under uncultured bacterium. Its description in RNAcentral is "partial 16S ribosomal RNA". It matches the Rfam family "Bacterial small subunit ribosomal RNA", at positions 28 to 507 of the family's 1533-position model. The record is from RNAcentral.
GAUGAACGCUGGCGGCGUGCUUAACACAUGCAAGUCGAACGGAAAGGCCCAAGCUUGCUUGGGUACUCGAGUGGCGAACGGGUGAGUAACACGUGGGUGAUCUGCCCUGCACUUCGGGAUAAGCCUGGGAAACUGGGUCUAAUACCGGAUAGGACGAUGGUUUGGAUGCCAUUGUGGACAGUUUUUUCGGUGUGGGAUGAGCUCGCGGCCUAUCAGCUUGUUGGUGGGGUAAUGGCCUACCAAGGCGUCGACGGGUAGCCGGCCUGAGAGGGUGUACGGCCACACUGGGACUGAGAUACGGCCCAGACUCCUACGGGAGGCAGCAGGGGGGAAUAUUGCACAAUGGGCGCAAGCCUGAUGCAGCGACGCCGCGUGGGGGAUGACGGCCUUCGGGUUGUAAACUCCUUUCGCUAGGGACGAAGCGUUUUUGUGACGGUACCUGGAGAAGAAGCACCGGCUAACUACGUG